This is a non-coding RNA of Oryza sativa Japonica Group (Japanese rice), 3415 nucleotides long. Lineage: Eukaryota; Viridiplantae; Streptophyta; Magnoliopsida; Poales; Poaceae. The record is from RefSeq and is a predicted model, not a curated record.
CUUCCAUCCAUAUGAUGACAAGCGACGAACUUCCUUAUCCAUCCUCUCCAUAGUGUCAUAAUUAUUUGCAGAGCCGAACUUCUCCUCUUUAGCAAUAGAAAGAGCCAGGUCCCGCACGAGGUCAUGCAUCUUAAAGCCACCUCCUCUGGUGUGUUUUCUUCAUUUUGUACUGCAAACCCUUCUGCGACCCACAACCGUACAACGGUCUCACGUGAUAAUUCAUGAUCUUCGGGGAACAGGCUACAAUACAAGAAGCAGUUUCUAAGAUCUCCCGACUUGAUUCUCUGGUGGCAAUGAAGACAAUAGGCCACCUAUAGAUACGAUUGCCAGUGGCAGACCUUGGCACCUAACUACUAUAUCAUUAGUCAGUUUCUCAAGGUUCUGUGGACACUUGCAGUUUCUGUAGAAAGCCCUUCUACAGAAGAGUUCAAGCGCGUCAGUGUGCUCCAAUGGGUUGAGUUUGAGUUGGCGUGCUGACUGAGCAAGAGUUGCUACAUCACCCUGUCGUGUUGUGAUGAUUAUGCGACUUGCUUGGAAGUUUGGGAAUGCAUCUGCUAUUUGAGUGCACAAUCUUCCUAAGCAAUUUCCUCAGCAAAUCAACGACAUCAUAUGACUGUGACACGACAAUCCAAGUACUAACUUCGAAAUUGUUCUUCUCCCGCUCAUAUACAUUAUUGACCAGGGUGGUUUUCCCCAAUCCACCCAUACCAGAUACUGUUAUUAUUGUGUUAUCUUGCUCUUUGGAGUACAACCAGUCAGUCAACAGUUUCCUGUUGUCUUCUAUCCCAACUAGAUCAUCUGGAGCUAGAAGGCAGUCUUGGGACCGUUUCCUUUCAAUAUCUGCAAGCGGAUUGGGAGUGUGUUGAGACUGCUGCUGCCACCGUUUUUUCCGCAUUGCAACAUUUUCAAUUUUUUUCUCUAUCUUGCUAAUCUCUUCAGCAAUUUCACUGAAAACCGUGACAUAAUUCGGUGUGGUGAAGAGUUUCUUGACAGAAUUUUCUUCUUCCAAUUUAAGAGCAUGGUAUGAAUAUUUGUCCAUUAUGUCCUGAACACGGUGGGCCAGACCUCGCACCUCUGCAAUCCAACCCUUGACAACCUCGUCUGUAAGAUUUGUUGUACUCAUCUGUUUUAUAACAUUGUUCAUCGUCUUCAGUUCAUCCUCUAUUUCCUCAACCUUUGAUGGCAGUUCCUUAAGAUUUGUAGCUUUUUCAGAUAGCUUGGUUAUAGCAGCUUUGGUGGCUUCCUCCACUAAAACAGAACCAAUCUUUGAGACAGCGAGGAUUACAGCCUCCAUGUGUGCUGAACAAAGGCACAGAUUGUAUUACAUAAUGCAGUAACAAACUAAAGCAAACUAACAGAACACAGGGCAUCAGUCCUUGUAGGAGUUAAUUAGCAAAAAGGCUAUGAAAAUAAAUACUUAUGUGCCACUCAGUUUCGUUUCAUCCCUUACAUUAUCUUGAGUUUUAAUUUAUUUUCAUCCUCUAUGUGCCCACCCUGUUACAUGAGGGUAAUUUUUACAUAUUUUAUUAUAAAUUAACCCCCUGAUAAAACUUUUCUGAAACAUUCCUUAAGCAUAGAGCCAUGAAAUUUUGGCGCAGUUUAUAUGUAGCCUGGUGCUGCAAGACUUGGCGUCAUGUGGGGUGGCAUGUAGAACCUCUAUGGCUCCAUUGACCAUCCUACAAGGUCGCCUGACGACAAAUACUUUGGUGCGACGCUAUGAACCAGGGGUGGAUACAAGACCCGACGAGCUAGGUCAUUAUCAGUAUAAUGAUCUCUUAUAUAUUAAUUGCAGUCAAUAAAUUUGUGCAAGCAACAAUUUGACCGUAUUUACACCAAAUCAGGGCAUCCCUGUUCUUUCAAGUUCUGAAUUUUUCUGAAUUUGGCGAUAUCAGUUCUGGAUUUUUUCUAAGUGAAUUUUCAAGAUACUGAUUUUGAUUUUAAUCAUGAAUGAUUUGCACUCUAACUUUUCCACAUUUAUUUUGUGUAUCCAUCACCAUCAUCUAGCAGGAGCAGAACCUACCCAUUGUCGCACCAACCACCUGCUUCCGUUCUUCAGACCCCUUGUUGUUUCCCAUUUGGUUAAUCUGAACAUAUUGCCAUACUUGACACUUUCCCAAUUCCCAUGCUCUAUUUAGUGCAUUAUAUUUUCCAUUAGACUGGUCUGGACAGAUUUCUAAGUAACUCAAUUGGUUGUAAGGUUAAUCGCAAUAUCAACAAUAUCUGGUUAGUAUUCUUAAGGAGUGCCAUACGGGAAAGCGAUCAUAUGACUAUAUGAGAAGUUAGGUCAUUCUAUUCUUCUUACUUAAUGGUAUAUGCUUCCAGAAGUGCUAUAUGACUGAUAUACAUUGUCACUUUACCUUACCAUUACCAUGCAUUUAACCGUGACAGAUUUUACUCCUAGCAUAUAUGUUACACCAUAAUAAAAAAAUGAAUUUGAAGACUGGAAGUGUGACUGAAAUUGAGGUCUGAAUAUUAUAUUCGAGGCCUGGAAGUAAAUCUUAAAUUGACUUUUGAAUCACACGUAACUCCUGAGGUUAUAUCCCCAAUCCAUCACACUUCAAUUGAGUUUUGAAUAACACUUGUAUUAAUAGGUGUGCAAAUUUUACUAUAAUAACAGAUUUUGGAUCCCCUUCUUUUUGCAGCUCGUUGAAACCUGAAACUGUUAACCAGGGGAAAUUUGUUUCUCAUGAAAUUAUUAUCUAUCUUUUGCAAGAAAAAUCUUCAUAGCAAGGUGAAUCAGGAUUAUUCUGGAUGUUUUUUCAGUUACUGGAAAACAAGCGGUUAGUAUUUUGCACAUUUCUGAAUUGACAUGUGUUAGCUCUAAAUUUCAGAUAUUUGCUCUAACAAGAACCUCAUUGGUAUGGAAAGGGGGACACUUUUUUUUAUUAAAUAUGAUGAUUGUACAAGGACUAAUAUCUUAUACUCUUUUUGUUAUGUUGCAUAAAAAAUAAAGGUUAGACUUUGGAUAAUGGACUGGUUUCUGGUUAACAUCCAAAGAUUGUAUCGCUUGCUGAUGAAAAACCCCUGGUAAUCUAUUUAUUGGUUAUGGAAGUUAUAAAAAUUUUGUUCAAGCUUAUAAGCUUGCAAUUGUCUGCUGGUCAUUUUAGAAAUAUCUAUUGACAUGAUAUUGUAAGUGUACAGGAUCAAAUGAUGAAUGCCCUGUCGAACAGGAUCAUAUCAGAUUUGUUACCUUAAUCAAGUCCAAGCACUAUGCAUGUUUUGGUUUUGAACUGCUUAGGUUGGAGAUACUUCUCAGAUAGGAAUCCAAAUAUCAGAGGUUGUCCUUGUACAAAUUGUCAAUCCAGAAAGAAACACAGUGGAAGUCAAGAGGAAGCAAUGAAAGUAGAUUACAAGCCUCGUCCUUAUUGACCAUCAUAUAUUGUUUUAAUGAAAAUACUGCAUUUUAUUAUGUAUC